GGCUGGCCGGUCCGCCUCACCGCGUGUACUGGUCCGGCCGGGCCUUUCCCUCUGUGGAACCCCAUGCCCUUCACUGGGUGUGGCGGGGAAACAGGACUUUUACUGUGAAAAAAUUAGAGUGCUCCAGGCAGGCCUAUGCUCGAAUACAUUAGCAUGGAAUAAUAGAAUAGGACGUGUGGUUCUAUUUUGUUGGUUUCUAGGACCGCCGUAAUGAUUAAUAGGGACAGUCGGGGGCAUCAGUAUUCAAUUGUCAGAGGUGAAAUUCUUGGAUUUAUUGAAGACUAACUACUGCGAAAGCAUUUGCCAAGGAUGUUUUCAUUAAUCAGGAACGAAAGUUAGGGGAUCGAAGACGAUCAGAUACCGUCGUAGUCUUAACCAUAAACUAUGCCGACUAGGGAUCGGACGGUGUUAUUUUUUGACCCGUUCGGCACCUUACGAGAAAUCAAAGUGCUUGGGCUCCAGGGGGAGUAUGGUCGCAAGGCUGAAACUUAAAGAAAUUGACGGAAGGGCACCACCAGGGGUGGAGCCUGCGGCUUAAUU
RNAcentral lists this ribosomal RNA (540 nucleotides) under Fusarium lateritium. Its description in RNAcentral is "SSU rRNA". It matches the Rfam family "Eukaryotic small subunit ribosomal RNA", at positions 650 to 1195 of the family's 1831-position model. Lineage: Eukaryota; Fungi; Ascomycota; Sordariomycetes; Hypocreales; Nectriaceae. The record is from RNAcentral.